Molecule: long non-coding RNA, 928 nt
Filed under: Mytilus galloprovincialis (Mediterranean mussel)
Lineage: Eukaryota; Metazoa; Mollusca; Bivalvia; Mytilida; Mytilidae
Source: RNAcentral
GUUUGUACCAUAAAUGAGCAAGAACAAUUAUCUUCACUAAUUUGCUUUAUGCUUUGUACAAGUUUCAGAUCUGUAAAAUACUGGUUUGAGAAAAUUUUAUGUUGGAUGUACAGAUAAUAAAGGUAUGUAUUAUAUAAAAAAUGGAAAGGGCAGAUACAUGAGUUUGAAAAUACAGCAAAAUAUGUUAUCGCUUAAUUUCACGGCAAAGUAUAUCAUCAAUGUUAAUUAUACAAUUGCCUAUUAAUAGCAACAUAUAACAUUCAAAUAUAUUUGAAUGUGGACUUAAUCUUGUUAAUCAGUACAGAGAUUAAUGCAAUUUCACAAAUAAUUUGACUAGCAACUUUUAACAAUAUUGAUUAGAAGUACACAUUUACUUAUUAUAUGAUUUGAAUGGACUCAAGAUCUGAGAGUUUUCUUACUUGUUAACAGAAUAAGGCCUUGUAAAUAUAUUAUUUUUUUUUAUUGAUAAGGAUUGAAUUGUAAUUUCUUGUAAUUGAAUAUCAUUGUAUGUUUAUAAAUAUGUAUAUCAGUUACUAGGUUUUACAACUUGUAACUUGUACUUUUAUCAAGCUAAUCUGAAGAAAAAAAAACUGAUGGUGUUGUUGGAUUUAAAAUGAAAAAGUUAUGAAAGCUAAGCAGUUUAUUAUAUUUGUCUGCAUGACAUGAUAAUAAGAGGGGCAUAUUGAUACUUGCCUUGCAAAAAGUUAUAAAAUGUUCUUUUUUCUUUUUUAUUUUAGGUAAGUGAAUUGGAAUAUAGAGAUAUUGGUUUGCUGUCUUUGAAGGACUUUCCAUGGAUAGUGAAUGAACAUUUUAAUCAAAAAUAAGAUAUAUGAUAUCUUGCAUAGUAUUUUUCUCUAUAUGUUUAUGUAAUUUGCCACUUUUAAAAAAUAAAUUUUAAAUUCUUGGAAAAUCAUAAUUUUCCUCUGAU